GGGUGAGGUUCUGGCCUGGGCCCAUCUAAAUGUGAGGGUCCUAGAGCUGAGACAGGGUGAGGUUCUGGCCUGGGCCCAUCUAAAUGUGAGGGUCCUAGAGCUGAGACAGGGUGAGGUUCUGGCCUGGGCCCAUCUAAAUGUGAGGGUCCUAGAGCUGAGACAGGGUGAGGUUCUGGCCUGGGCCCAUCUAAAUGUGAGGGUCCUAGAGCUGAGACAGGGUGAGGUUCUGGCCUGGGCCCAUCUAAAUGUGACAUACUCUGUCCUCUCUGAGAGAACGGGACACAUACACAUGUUCUGAGUUCAU
Molecule: long non-coding RNA, 304 nt
Organism: Oncorhynchus tshawytscha (Chinook salmon)
Lineage: Eukaryota; Metazoa; Chordata; Actinopteri; Salmoniformes; Salmonidae
Source: Ensembl